GUUGAAGCAUGUCUUGGUGUUGCCUCGACCCGGGGAGGGGGGCUAUUCUGCGGAGCAAGCGAUGUGUUGGGAGGAUCUGCGCAGGGUAGGGAUGCCUG
RNAcentral lists this non-coding RNA (98 nucleotides) under Lotharella globosa. The record is from RNAcentral. Lineage: Eukaryota; Cercozoa; Chlorarachniophyceae.